AGUUUGAUCAUGGCUCAGAAUGAACGUUGGCGGCGUGGAUUAGGCAUGCAAGUCGUGCGAGAAGUUCCUUCGGGAAUGGACAGCGGCGAAAGGGAGAGGAAUACGUAGAAAUCUACCCUCGGGUCUGGGAUAGCGUCGGGAAACUGGCGGUAAUACCAGAUAACGUCUUCGGACCAAAGGUGUGAUUCCACCUGAGGAUGAGUCUACGUCCUAUUAGCUAGUUGGCGGGGUAAUGGCCCACCAAGGCAACGAUGGGUAGCGGGUGUGAGAGCACGAUCCGCCUCACUGGGACUGAGACACUGCCCAGACACCUACGGGUGGCUGCAGUCGAGAAUCUUUGUCAAUGGACGAAAGUCUGAACAAGCGACGCCGCGUGCGGGAUGAAGGCCCUCGGGUUGUAAACCGCUGUCGUAGGGGAACAAAUGUUUAGGGGUUCUCCCCUUUAUUUGAGUGAUCCUAGGAGGAAGGACGGGCUAAGUUCGUGCCAGCAGCCGCGGUAAGACGAACCGUCCGAACGUUAUUCGGUAUCACUGGGCUUAAAGAGUUCGUAGGCGGCCUAGCAGGUCAGGUGUGAAAUCCCACAGCUCAACUGUGGAAUUGCGCUUGAUACCAUUAGGCUGGAGGGAGAUAGAGGUAAGCGGAACAGAUGGUGGAGCGGUGAAAUGCGUUGAUAUCAUCUGGAACACCGGUGGCGAAAGCGGCUUACUGGAUCUUUUCUGACGCUGAGGAACGAAAGCUAGGGUAGCGAACGGGAUUAGAUACCCCGGUAGUCCUAGCCGUAAACGAUGA
This 789-nucleotide ribosomal RNA is filed under the name uncultured bacterium. RNAcentral's name for it is "bacterial SSU rRNA". It matches the Rfam family "Bacterial small subunit ribosomal RNA", at positions 10 to 812 of the family's 1533-position model. The record is from RNAcentral.